This 1397-nucleotide ribosomal RNA is filed under the name uncultured bacterium. Its description in RNAcentral is "16S ribosomal RNA". It matches the Rfam family "Bacterial small subunit ribosomal RNA". The record is from RNAcentral.
UUAGAGUUUGAUCCUGGCUCAAGAUGAACGCUGGCGGCGUGCUUAACACAUGCAAGUCGAACGAAGCGCCUCUCCCGAAGAUUGACACAGCUUGCUGUAGAUUGAUUCAUUUGAGGUGACUGAGUGGCGGACGGGUGAGUAACGCGUGGGUAACCUGCCUCAUAGAGGGGGACAACAGUUGGAAACGACUGCUAAUACCGCAUAGUAAGAAAGAUUCGCAUGUUUCUUUCUUGAAAGAUUUAUCGCUAUGAGAUGGACCCGCGUCUGAUUAGCUAGUUGGUAAGGUAACGGCUUACCAAGGCGACGAUCAGUAGCCGGCUUGAGAGAGUGAACGGCCACAUUGGGACUGAGACACGGCCCAAACUCCUACGGGAGGCAGCAGUGGGGAAUAUUGCACAAUGGGGGAAACCCUGAUGCAGCGACGCCGCGUGAGUGAAGAAGUAUUUCGGUAUGUAAAGCUCUAUCAGCAGGGAAGAUAAUGACGGUACCUGACUAAGAAGCCCCGGCUAACUACGUGCCAGCAGCCGCGGUAAUACGUAGGGGGCAAGCGUUAUCCGGAUUUACUGGGUGUAAAGGGUGCGUAGGUGGCAAGGCAAGUCAGAUGUGAAAGCCCGGGGCUCAACCCCGGUACUGCAUUUGAAACUGUCUAGCUAGAGUGCAGGAGAGGUAAGCGGAAUUCCUAGUGUAGCGGUGAAAUGCGUAGAUAUUAGGAGGAACACCAGUGGCGAAGGCGGCUUACUGGACUGUAACUGACACUGAGGCACGAAAGCGUGGGGAGCAAACAGGAUUAGAUACCCUGGUAGUCCACGCCGUAAAAGAUGGAAUACUAGGUGUCGGGGCCCACAGGGCUUCGGUGCCGCAGCAAACGCAUUAAGUUUUCCACCUGGGGAGUACGUUCGCAAGAAUGAAAACUCAAAGGAAUUGACGGGGACCCGCACAAGCGGUGGAGCAUGUGGUUUAAUUCGAAGCAACGCGAAGAACCUUACCAAGUCUUGACAUCCUUCUGACCGUUCCUUAGCCGGAACUUCUCUUCGGAGCAGAAGAGACAGGUGGUGCAUGGUUGUCGUCAGCUCGUGUCGUGAGAUGUUGGGUUAAGUCCCGCAACGAGCGCAACCCUUAUCCUUAGUAGCCAGCGGUUCGGCCGGGCACUCUGGGGAGACUGCCGGAGAUAAUCCGGAGGAAGGUGGGGAUGACGUCAAAUCAUCAUGCCCCUUAUGACUUGGGCUACACACGUGCUACAAUGGCGGUAACAAAGGGAAGCAGCCUCGCGAGAGUGAGCAAACCCCAAAAAUGCCGUCUCAGUUCGGAUUGUAGUCUGCAACUCGACUACAUGAAGCUGGAAUCGCUAGUAAUCGCAGAUCAGAAUGCUGCGGUGAAUACGUUCCCGGGUCUUGUAC